This 505-nucleotide ribosomal RNA is filed under the name uncultured Sphingobacteriales bacterium. RNAcentral describes it as "bacterial SSU rRNA". It matches the Rfam family "Bacterial small subunit ribosomal RNA", at positions 903 to 1382 of the family's 1533-position model. Lineage: Bacteria; Pseudomonadati; Bacteroidota; Sphingobacteriia; Sphingobacteriales. The record is from RNAcentral.
GCGCCUUGCCAGCCCGCUCAGAAACUUAAAGGAAUUGACGGGGGCCCGCACAAGCGGUGGAGCAUGUGGUUUAAUUCGAUGAUACGCGAGGAACCUUACCUGGGCUCAAAUGUAUGUUGACGUAUUUCUGAAAGGGAUACUUCUUCGGACAAUAUACAAGGUGCUGCAUGGUUGUCGUCAGCUCGUGCCGUGAGGUGUCGGGUUAAGUCCCAUAACGAGCGCAACCCCUAUCAUUAGUUGCCAUCAGGUCAAGCUGGGGACUCUAAUGAAACUGCCUACGCAAGUAGUGAGGAAGGUGGGGAUGACGUCAAAUCAGCACGGCCCUUACGUCCAGGGCUACACACGUGCUACAAUGGCCGGUACAAAGGGUUGCCAAGCCGCGAGGUGGAGCUAAUCCCAUAAAACCGAUCGUAGUCCGGAUCGCAGUCUGCAACUCGACUGCGUGAAGUCGGAAUCGCUAGUAAUCGUGAAUCAGAAUGUCACGGUGAAUACGUUCCCGGGCCUU